This 75-nucleotide transfer RNA is filed under the name Ictidomys tridecemlineatus (thirteen-lined ground squirrel). RNAcentral describes it as "Spermophilus tridecemlineatus (thirteen-lined ground squirrel) tRNA". It matches the Rfam family "tRNA". Rfam says of the family: Transfer RNA (tRNA) molecules are approximately 80 nucleotides in length. Their secondary structure includes four short double-helical elements and three loops (D, anti-codon, and T loops). Further hydrogen bonds mediate the characteristic L-shaped molecular structure. tRNAs have two regions of fundamental functional importance: the anti-codon, which is responsible for specific mRNA codon recognition, and the 3' end, to which the tRNAs corresponding amino acid is attached (by aminoacyl-tRNA synthetases). tRNAs cope with the degeneracy of the genetic code in two manners: having more than one tRNA (with a specific anti-codon) for a particular amino acid; and 'wobble' base-pairing, i.e. permitting non-standard base-pairing at the 3rd anti-codon position. The record is from Rfam by way of RNAcentral. Lineage: Eukaryota; Metazoa; Chordata; Mammalia; Rodentia; Sciuridae.
UGGGGUAUAGCUCAGUGAUAGAGCACUUGCCUAACAUGCAUGAAGCCCUGGUGGAUUUGAUCCCCUGUACCACAA